UUCAUUUUUUAUUAUUUUCGUUUUUUAUAAAUAUUUAAAUUCAAAAAUAAUAACUAAUAAUUAACUAAAUAUUUAAAUUUUAUUAUAUUUUUCUCAAUAAUAUUUAAUUUUAGUGAAUAAUUACACCUUUUAUUUUGAAAAAGAAAAACGAAAAUGAUUUAACAAAAUAAAAUAAAGAAAUUAAUUAGGCUGCCACUUGGCUUAAGGAGAGGGCUUUAUCCUCUCCUUUUAAUUAUACAAGCAGAUUUGAAGAGAGGAAAUUUGAACUUAUUAAAAAAUUAUUGUGUCGAUAUCUAAACCCCAAGAUAAUUGGGGCCAGGAAAGAUUCAUAUAUAAACAUAUGCAAAUUUUAGUACUAAAAUAUUCCUUACAUUUGAAAGGGAACUAACAAUUAAAAUAUGAAUGUCAGCUAAUGAAUCAAACUACAAUAUCUAUUUCCUUUAACUUUAAAAAUAUAUAAAAAAGAUCCAUGCACUAAACUGACAUAAGCUAUCAAAUGAUUUAAAUCAUCACGGUAGGAAUAUUCAUAAUAUAUUUCCAAUAGAACCCAUGGGAAUGAUAUUUAAUAUAAGAAACACAAAUGUAUUACAAAAUCAACACAUGUUUAUAUAAACAUAAAGAUAACAAAUGCAGCACAAAAGAAAGAAAGAGAAAAAGAAAAACGAAAAGGGAGAACAUAAAAUUAAACAAAAAAAAAUAGAAGAAAGAAUAUGAACCUGGUUGAAAGCAAAAAUAAAAUAAAACUCCUUUGAUGUAAUAAGGAAUCCUGGCGAGUACGGAUCAACUAUAAUAGGAACACUCCGACGUCGGACUCCAAUGACAAUAGCUAAUCGGCUGAUUCAAACUUUUCAUUCUCUACACUAUUUUGGUUCUUUUUUUUUUAAAACUAUAUUAGCAAAUUGCAGAAAAUAUGAAGAAGAGAAGAUCUGGAAAUUUCUCUCAAAGUUCAUUGUCUCAAAGAAAUCCUUUUCACUCCCAAAAAUUAAAAUUCCCAAAAAAAAACCUCUUUUUCUCAACGUGAUAUCUCCCUUUUAUAGAGGAGCAUAUCAGGUGGUAUGUGAUCAUGUGCCAAAAGAGUUGGAGUGGGAGAAUAUGGGAUUGAGGGGAUAUAGCGGUUGGGACGUGGGAUAAAAGAGAAAAGUGCAGGUUUGUGCUGUGUGACGUGGGUGAGAUCGUGUGUAGUGGAGGUAAUUUGUGAAAGAGUAAAUUUUUACAAAGUGAUGUGAUGGAAAGGGAAUUGUUAAGGGAUGAUGACUGAUGUUUUAUAUAUAAAAAAAAUAAGAAAACUGAAGAGAAGGUGGAACGGUUUACUCAUGAACGAUUUAAAGGCUACUCCAAAUAUUGUAUUUCCUAAUAAUGUGGAGCAAUGUCUUAAAGUGCCAAGUGUAUUUUUAGGAAUCUGUCACUUGGCUUCAUGAGGGGCUUUUGUCUUUGGAUUAUAGAUAGAUUACACUUUUUAUUUUGAAAAAGAAAAACGAAAAUGAUUUAACAAAAUAAAAUAAAGAAAUUAAUUAGGCUGCCACUUGGCUUAAGGAGAGGGCUUUAUCCUCUCCUUUUAAUUAUACAAGCAGAUUUGAAGAGAGGAAAUUUGAACUUAUUAAAAAAUUAUUGUGACGAUAUCUAAACCCCAAGAUGAUUGGGGCCAGGAAAGAUUCAUAUAUAAACAUAUGCAAAUUUUAGUACUAAAAUAUUCCUUACACUUGAAAGGGAACUAACAAUUAAAAUAUGAAUGUCAGCUAAUGAAUCAAACUAAAAUAUCUAUUUCCUUUAACUUUAAAUAUAUAUAAAAAAGAUCCAUGCACUAAACUGACAUAAGCUAUAAAAUGAUUUAAAUCAUCGCGGUAGGAAUAUUCAUAAUAUAUUUCCAAUAGAACCCAUGGGAAUGAUAUUU
RNAcentral lists this long non-coding RNA (1891 nucleotides) under Nicotiana tabacum (common tobacco). RNAcentral's name for it is "long non-coding RNA (NTAB_LNC000805)". The record is from RNAcentral. Lineage: Eukaryota; Viridiplantae; Streptophyta; Magnoliopsida; Solanales; Solanaceae.